Molecule: ribosomal RNA, 301 nt
Filed under: uncultured bacterium
Lineage: Bacteria
Description: partial 16S ribosomal RNA
Rfam family: Bacterial small subunit ribosomal RNA
Source: RNAcentral
CAGUAGCCGCGGUAAAACGUAGGUCCCGAGCGUUGUGCGGAUUUAUUGGGCGUAAAGCGCGCGUAGGCGGUUUUUAAGUCUGAUGUGAAAGCCCCCGGCUCAACCGGGGAGGGUCAUUGGAAACUGGGAAACUUGAGUGCAGAAGAGGAGAGUGGAAUUCCACGUGUAGCGGUGAAAUGCGUAGAGAUGUGGAGGAACACCAGUGGCGAAGGCGACUCUCUGGUCUGUAACUGACGCUGAGGAGCGAAAGCGUGGGGAGCGAACAGGAUUAGAUACCCCUGUAGUCCCUGUCUCUUAUACC